GACGAAGGGGGCUAGCGUUGUUCGGAAUUACUGGGCGUAAAGCGAGUGUAGGUGGUUGUCGUAGUCAGGCGUGAAAGCCUUGAGCUCAACUCAAGAAAUGCGCUUGAUACUGGGCAGCUAGAGGACCGGAGAGGAUAGUGGAAUUCCCAGUGUAGUGGUGAAAUACGUAGAGAUUGGGAAGAACACCAGUGGCGAAGGCGGCUAUCUGGACGGUUUCUGACACUAAGACUCGAAAGCGUGGGGAGCAAACAGGAUUAGAUACCCUGGUAGUCCACGCCGUAAACGAUGGGUGCUAGACGUUGGCGGGCUUGCCCGUCAGUGUCGCAGCUAACGCGUUAAGCACCCCGCCUGGGGAGUACGGCCGCAAGGUUGAA
RNAcentral lists this ribosomal RNA (374 nucleotides) under uncultured bacterium. RNAcentral describes it as "bacterial SSU rRNA". It matches the Rfam family "Bacterial small subunit ribosomal RNA", at positions 524 to 898 of the family's 1533-position model. The record is from RNAcentral.